UCAGUUCGGAUUGGAGUCUGCAACUCGACUCCAUGAAGCUGGAUUCGCUAGUAAUCGCGCAUCAAGCCAUGGCGCGGUGAAUACGUUCCCGGGCCUUGUACACACCGCCCGUCAAGCCAUGGAAGCCGGGGGUGCCUGAAGUGCGUGACCGCAAGGAGCGCCCUAAGGUAAAACCGGUGACUGGGGCUAAGUCGUAACAAGGUAUC
Molecule: ribosomal RNA, 206 nt
Filed under: uncultured bacterium
Lineage: Bacteria
Description: partial 16S ribosomal RNA
Rfam family: Bacterial small subunit ribosomal RNA
Source: RNAcentral